Molecule: long non-coding RNA, 4151 nt
Organism: Oreochromis aureus
Lineage: Eukaryota; Metazoa; Chordata; Actinopteri; Cichliformes; Cichlidae
Source: Ensembl
UUUCGUUUCUGGAAAGAAAAUCGACUUAAAGGAAGAAAAAAAUAAACAAAGAAGAGUUCCUGAAACGGAAACGGAAACAUGUAAAAGUUAUUUAAGGUGCGAUUUUUUAAAACACUUGGCUCAAUAAACGAGGGCGGGGUUUGAGGUGUUCCAUCUUCCCACGCCAACAUUCGACUCCGCACGCGCUACUGAGGCUCUUCCCGCCAAAUCGUGCAACAAAACGAGCGCUGAGCCAUAAUCGUUGGGAGGAGUUCUAUCUAUUUUCUUUUUCUGGCAACUGAAACUAACUACAAGCAAAACAUAACCGAAAGGAGAGCCCAGAGAGAGAUAAAUAACAGAUUUUUAACUAAGCCAAAGCAAAAAUGUCUUCCCUGAGUAACAAAUCUGCGCAGGAAAUCAGCGACCUGCUCGAUGAAUACGGAAUAAAGCACGGACCUGUGGUCGAAUCUACGAGAAACCUGUAUGAGAAGAAACUGAAAGAGGCCAUGGCCAAAGGCAAAAGAGCCAAACCAUCACCUGACAAAACCUACUACAGAGAAGAGGAGGAGGAAGUCACCUAUGUUUACAGGACACCCACCAGAAGUGAAGGCUCAGGUGACAGUGGGGCUUACGUGAGGUCCAGACCAGAGUGGAAUGAGAGAGAUUAUCAGCACGAACAAACUUCAACCUCAAACUGCCAAGCCACUAGGUAAAAUGUAAAUAAUAACAGAAUGCAGAUCUUUUUCAUUCAAAAUACAUUACCUCUUUAAGAGUUAAGAGUUUAAAUGAAUUUCAAAUCAUUGCUUUUUUUCAUCUUUCAUCUUUUUAAAAAAAACAAGGAUAUACUUUGGUUUUAGUUUAAAGAAUCUGCAGCUCUGAACUUGUGAAAUCAAAAUAUCCAUGUCACCUUAAAGAAUCAUUUAGACUGCCAGCUCUCUAGUGCAAAGUCUGUAUGAUGUCCCAUUGCGCUUUUAUGAGAAUAGCAGAGGUAAUUGUCUCGUGGGCUCACAGGGAGUGAGUGGUUAUCUCAUGCUGUGCCUCCUGCAUGGUCUAAUAUGGCAGCUCCCUUGUGAGGAUGUGACUGAGCAAGCUAUCACCUGCUGUGUGCAGGUGCUGUUAGCUGUGAUGAUGACAGGCAUUUCCUAUGGCAUCGUUUCAAUAUGCUUACGCAGUCCCACAACAUUUAUUUCCAUCCAGAGUUGCUUUAAUUUUUUGCCAACAUCCUGUAUUGAUGACAGUAGUGUUGGACCGCGGCGUGAAGUCUUCUCUGCAUAGCUUAAAGAGUCUCAGUGGGGUUAAUGUCAGGAUUCAUGAUGUCUUGUGCUCCCCGAACCACUCUUUUAGUUUCAGUGUGAUGAACUGGAAUUGUCAUCAGGGAAGGGGAAAUCCACUGAUGGAAAAAUGCGGUCAUAACACUUAUCCAGAUAGUCAGCUGACCUCUUAAUUUGGGCACAUAACUGUGCUGAUCCUAGACCCCAGAUCAUAACAAUGCCCCCACAGGCUUGUACAGCAGGCACUAGGCAUGAUGGGUGCUUUGUCUCUUCUCACCCCGAUGAGCAAUCACUCGAGAGCAGGUUAGACCUGGACUCAUCAAACCACUUGACCUUUAUCCACGAUUACAAAUCAUGGAUAAAAUGAUGGAAAUUAUGCUCCCAAGAAAACUGAAGCCUUUUUUUCUGAUUAACCUCACUGAUAUGUUUUUCUUAAGGCUGCACACCUGUUUAGUCCUAAUCCUUUGACUUGUCUUUUAGUUGUGCAUGCGGAAAUGCUCUUACGUUCACCAUUAAACACACCCAUGAGUGUCUACUGUUGAUGUUUUUCACUAAUUGAUUUCAGCAGAUGUUUGAGUCAUCUCCAAUUAUAAUCAUUCAAGAGUUUAUUUGUUUUUUUUUUCACCUUCCUUCCAGGUUUAAAUAAUGCUCUGGAUAGUUUUAACCCAACUUUAAUAGUUUCAGCAGUCUCUUUAGUUGUUCUCUUUGCUUGCUCCAGGGCUAAUAAUUUGGCCCAUUUGGUCCUUCUUGUUUUUUCUCACAAGCACAGGAUAUGUAUUCUCACAUGGGUGUGCUUCAGUCAGGACUAAAUAGCCUGCUCCCAGCAGAAACACAUUAAUCACUGCAGUAAUUAUCCAGAGAAAGGUUCCUGCUAUUCGCUUAGUUAAAUCCAGAGGUUGACUUAUGUUUAUAAGGCCACCAUAGUGUACAGUAUUGAGCUGCAUUUAAUGCCAAACCCUUCUAGAAACUAUCCAUACACAUCAAAACUCUUGGAUCAUAGAUUAUUAUUUAGAAAGAAACUUAUAUUCAGGGCAAACUUUAUUUCUAUGGUUCUGGUUAUUUGUUCAGAGGCAGAUAUGGUGUUUAAUGAUGUGUUGUUAAAGGUGAACCGAUUACAGUGUAUAAAAGAAAAUGUAAUUAGACAGGCUACAAUGUAACAUUUUGAUGCACUUGUAAUAAAAUUCAUUUUAUUUUGAAACUUUAAGUUCACACAUGUUACUAAAGUUGAAUUUUAAUCUUUGAUGCAGAGUAAUAACCAGUGUUACUCUAUAAGUAACACUAAUAGAGUCAGAAAAUGAUCUAACAUUUCCUUUAGCACUAAUUUAGGGUAUGCAUAGCGCCUUAUUUUGUCUUACCAUCGGUCCAAAAGCACACCGGUAUUAUUUUAGGAGGCUGUAAUUAUUUUGCACUGACCUCUUAUCAAACUGAAAGUUUGUGGGAGCAAUUAUCAUGCCAGAUAAAAACAAGUGAUGUCAUACUAGUUUGAGAUGCAGAAUUUUAACUAUGUGCUGAUGCAUGAUUUCCCUCGAUUUCCUUUCCAGACCCGACAUGUAUGACACUCCGUCCACUUACAGAAGCACCUACGCUAAAUCGCCACCCAUGAAAUCAGGUCAAGAUGUUCCAGAUGCACCAAAGUCAUCACGUCUGAUCCCACUGUGGGUUCAGUUUGUGUUCUUCCUGGCUGUGGCAGUCUUCCUCUACUUAGUUUUUUCCACUAUGGAGAUAAAUGAACCCCUUAAAGGGAUAAAAUGAUUUUUUUUUAAACCAUUAUUUCCUUAUAUUGAAUUUAAAGGAAUGCACAUGAUUAAAUGCAUGCAUUUUAGACAUUUUAUGCAAGAUUGUGUUUUUAACAGCAGUACAUUCUCUGCUUAUGCUUUUAGGCAAAAUGUUUAUUUGUCAUUGAGCUUCAGUACAUUACCACUACUCGAAUCAACCAGCCUGCCACUUUAAAACACACUAAAAUCUUCCUUUUUUUAUCUGGACACAAGCUGUCCCUCCAUCGGCACAGUUUCAAGUGAUCUGUCGUGGUUUUAAGAGAUGAUCGUCCACAGCUUAGUCCAAAUAUGGCCGCAGUUGACCAUAAAACAUCCAAAGAUUAUCACGCAAGAUUUUGAAGCUCAUAUUUUAAAGCUUCAGCUGAUUGUCUCCUUUUAGCCUCUGCAGUUCACAGUGAAUCUGUCUGCAUGACCAAAAUUUGGGUGGCAGGGUUUUUUUUUUUCUUAAAUAAACAUCAAACUUGUACAACAUGCAUACAUUUCUCAAUAUUUUCCAAAUGUUAGAUGCAUUUUUGACAGGCUAUUUCCCUCAAAACAAAAACUCGUGGCACUGCGUCAAGCCAACCUGCAUAUCCACUUAGUUAUUCAAUAUGUACCCUUUUUUCCCUCAUCAUACUUCUAGUAAUGCAGGUGUUUCGGAUUCAUUGUGUAUUUUUAAAUAUUUGUAGUUUACGGGUCCAACAAUGUUUCCAUUUUUCAGUUAUCAAGUAUAUUUUGGACAUUUUCAAACCAGCUGUAAUGCAAGUGCCUCUGUGUAUUUGGAGAUUUUAAAAAAAAAGUCUGGGUGGGGUUAAAAAUGUAAAAGGUGCACUAGACGAGCUGUUGCCCCCAGCGUUAUGAGUUGAUUCAGUAUAAUUAAGCUGGAUAUCAUAUUUUUGUACUACAUAAUCCAACUUUAACAUCAGCCGGGUUUGUUGUGAUUUGUUUUGUAUUCCUGUUUCAAAACUGUAACUAUUAAAAACUAAGCUUAUAUAUGUAAACAUUUAAAGCUUUAGGUGUUUUGUUUUUUAUUGUAGCCACUUUAUUGGGUACACCUAUUCACCUGCUUGGUAAAGCAAAUAUCUUAUCAGCCCAUAACAUGUUAGGUAGACGCCGACCUGCUGAAGAUCAAUCUGACCAUUAGAAU